GGCUUCGUGCUCGAGUGGUAAGGAUACUUGCCUCUUACCCGGAAGUCUCGGGUUCGAUCCCCGGUCGAGAAGCUA
Rhamnusium bicolor is the source of this 75-nucleotide non-coding RNA. The record is from the annotation of a GenBank genome assembly. NCBI's taxonomy places the organism in Eukaryota, Metazoa, Arthropoda, Insecta, Coleoptera, Cerambycidae.